Molecule: transfer RNA, 72 nt
Organism: Loxodonta africana (African savanna elephant)
Lineage: Eukaryota; Metazoa; Chordata; Mammalia; Proboscidea; Elephantidae
Rfam family: tRNA
About the family: Transfer RNA (tRNA) molecules are approximately 80 nucleotides in length. Their secondary structure includes four short double-helical elements and three loops (D, anti-codon, and T loops).
Source: Rfam
UCCCUGGUGGUCUAGUAGCUAGGAUUCGGCGCUUUCACCGCCGCGGCCCGGGUUCGAUUCCCGGCCAGGGCG